GAUGAACGCUGACAGAAUGCUUAACACAUGCAAGUCAACUUGAAUUUGGGUUUUUAACUUAGAUUUGGGUGGCGGACGGGUGAGUAACGCGUAAAGAACUUGCCUCACAGCUAGGGACAACAUUUAGAAAUGAAUGCUAACACCUGAUAUUAUGAUUUUAAGGCAUCUUAGAAUUAUGAAAGCUAUAAGCACUGUGAGAGAGCUUUGCGUCCCAUUAGCUAGUUGGAGAGGUAACAGCUCACCAAGGCGAUGAUGGGUAGCCGGCCUGAGAGGGUGAACGGCCACAAGGGGACUGAGACACGGCCCUUACUCCUACGGGAGGCAGCAGUGGGGAAUAUUGGACAAUGGACCGAGAGUCUGAUCCAGCAAUUCUGUGUGCACGAUGAAGUUUUUCGGAAUGUAAAGUGCUUUCAGUUGGGAAGAAAAAAAUGACGGUACCAACAGAAGAAGUGACGGCUAAAUACGUGCCAGCAGCCGCGGUAAUACGUAUGUCACGAGCGUUAUCCGGAUUUAUUGGGCGUAAAGCGCGUCUAGGUGGUUAUGUAAGUCUGAUGUGAAAAUGCAGGGCUCAACUCUGUAUUGCGUUGGAAACUGUAUAACUAGAGUACUGGAGAGGUAAGCGGAACUACAAGUGUAGAGGUGAAAUUCGUAGAUAUUUGUAGGAAUGCCGAUGGGGAAGCCAGCUUACUGGACAGAUACUGACGCUCAAGCGCGAAAGCGUGGGUAGCAAACAGGAUUAGAUACCCUGGUAGUCCAAGGGCGAAUUCCACAGUGGAUAUCAAGCUUAUCGAUACCGUCGACCUCGAGGGGGGGCCCGGUAACAUGCAUUAUAUAUCUCUUUAGUGAGGGGUUA
RNAcentral lists this ribosomal RNA (853 nucleotides) under uncultured Fusobacterium sp. RNAcentral's name for it is "bacterial SSU rRNA". It matches the Rfam family "Bacterial small subunit ribosomal RNA". Lineage: Bacteria; Fusobacteriati; Fusobacteriota; Fusobacteriia; Fusobacteriales; Fusobacteriaceae. The record is from RNAcentral.